Molecule: long non-coding RNA, 621 nt
Organism: Macadamia integrifolia
Lineage: Eukaryota; Viridiplantae; Streptophyta; Magnoliopsida; Proteales; Proteaceae
Exons: 2
Source: RefSeq, a predicted model, not a curated record
UUUGAAUUCAAGGGUAUUGUAAACCCUAAACAUACUUUUCUCUUGGAACGACCAGAGGAGAAGGAGAGGAAAGGAGAGCAAAAAGUCCCACUUCCUUCAUCGUCUUCGAUUUGCGGAUGUUUGCAACUUUACUGUUGUUCCAGCGAGAGCGAGGUCGAGGUCGAGGAUAUCUGGGUGUUCGACUCUGAAAUCUCUAGAUUACGGUAGAACAUUUCAUGAUCAUCUUUUGAACUCUUGUUCUCAACUGGACAUUAUUUUUCAGAAUCAUAUCCACAACGUGUAUGGGAAAUGUGGGUCUCUAAAAGAUGCUCGGAAGGUGUUCUACGAAAUGCCCGAAAGAAAUAAGGUUUCAUGGACUUCAAUGAUUGCUGGCUAUUCUUAGAAUCAUGAAGAGGAGGCUGCGUUGAAAACAUAUUUAGAAAUGUGACGAUCAGGUUUUCUGCCAGAUCACUUCAUCUUUGGAAGCAUAUUAAGAGCAUGCUCGGGUCUUAUUGAUGUUGAGCUCAAGAGGCAAUUGCAUGCCCAUGCCUUGAAUUCAGAAUUUGGGUGUCAUCUAAUUGCAUAGAUUGCUCUAGUAGUAACGUACACAAAGCUUAAUCAGAUUGAUGAUGCAUUAAUUCA